This is a non-coding RNA of Podarcis lilfordi (Lilford's wall lizard), 2536 nucleotides long. The record is from the annotation of a GenBank genome assembly. Lineage: Eukaryota; Metazoa; Chordata; Lepidosauria; Squamata; Lacertidae.
UCCCAUCUCACUCCUAAAUGUGGAUUACAAAAUUUUUGCUGAUAUUUUGGCGAGCAGACUUAAAAAAAUACUUAACGAAGUAAUUCAUAAGGACCAGGCAGGCUUUCUCCCAGGGAGACAUCUUUUGAUAAUACCAGGAACAUUAUUGAUAUUUUGGAACUUUUACAAACUAAUAUCAAUACGAAAGCUGUGUUAAUUUUCAUCGACGCGGAGAAGGCCUUUGAUAAUAUUUCUUGGAUGUUUAUGAAGAGAAACCUGGAAGGGAUGGGAGUGGGACGGGGUUUGAAAAUGGAAUAGAAGCAAUUUAUUCUGAGCAAAAAGCUAAACUGAUAGUAAACAAUGUGGUGACAGAUGAGUUCAAAAUUGAAAAAGGGACACGACAAGGGUGCCCCCUAUCCCCCCUUUUAUUUAUUUCAGUCCUGGAGGUGUUACUGAACAUGAUUAGGAAGGACCGGUUGAUACAAGGAAUACAGGUCGGAGCGAAACAAUAUAAAUUGAAAGCUUUUGCAGAUGAUUUGGUUUUAACAUUACAGGAGCCAGAAUCUAGUACAAAAAGAGUAUUAGAAUUGAUUCAUGAGUUUGGUCGGGUGGCGGGAUUUAAGUUGAAUAAGCAAAAACUAAGGUUUUGGGGAAAAACUUGACACCCUCAGAAAUAGAUGGGUUUCAGAAGGAAACAGAACUAAGUGUGGUAAAAAAGUGAAAUACCUAGGGGUUCACUUGUCAGCGAAAAAUUUGAAUCUAUUUAAAGACAACUAUGAAAAAUGUUGGCUGGAAAUCAAAAAGAUUUGGAAAUCUGGUCAAGAUUGAAACUUUCCUUGUUGGGUCGAAUUGCUGCUAUAAAAAUGAAUGUAUUGCCGAAAAUGUUAUUUUUGUUUCAAACCCUACAGAUUGUGGACAGAGUGGAAUGUUUUGGAAAGUGGCAGAAGGAUAUAUCCAAGUUUGUUUGGCAGGGCAAAAAGCCCCGGAUAAAGUUUAAAAUACUAACUGACUUGAAAGAAAGAGGGGGGUUUGCCCUGCCGGACUUGAGAUUAUAUUAUGAAGCUGCGGCCUUCUGCUGGAUGAAAGAUUGGUUACUUCUUGAGAACACUGAUGUUCUAGAUCUGGAAGGGUUUGAUAAUGCUUUUGGUUGGCAUGCAUAUUUGUGGUACGACAAGGUAAAGGUUCAUAAAAUGUUCAAAAAUCAUAUUGUUAGAAAAUCAAUAUUUAUGGUCUGGACAAAAUACAAGGACUUAUUAGAGGGUAAGACUCCGAGGUGGCUUUCACCAGCAGAGGCCAAGGCCCGGAAAAACCUAAUAUGGAGGUUGGUUGGCUGAAAUAUGGGGAAAUUAUAGAAAAAGUAGGAGAAACUUGGAGGCUGCAGAGUUAUGAAAAAUUAAAGAAUAAGGUGCAAAAUUGGCUUCACUAUGCUCAAAUUCAAGAGGUUUUUAAGCUGGACAAAAGAACAGGUUUCCAGGUGGAAAAAUCGAAACUAGAGACAGAAUUGUUGGAACCAAAGACCAAGGUACUUUCGAGAAUGUAUAUCUUGCUGCUUAAAUGGAACACUCAGGAUGAGACAGUCAAAUCAGCCAUGAUAAAAUGGGCUCAGGACAUUGGGUACAACAUUAUGUUUGAAGACUGGGAAAGGUUAUGGACCACUGGUAUGAAAUUCACGGCAUGUAAUGCCUUGAAAGAGAAUAUUAUGAAAAUGAUAUACAGGUGGUACAUGACCCCAGUCAAGCUUGCUAAGAUAUAUCAUUUGUCUGAUAAUAAAUGUUGGAAAUGUAAGGAGGCUGAAGGGACAUUCUUUCACCUCUGGUGGACUUGCCCAAAAGUGAAGGCCUUCUGGGAAAUGAUCUAUAAUGAGUUAAAAAAGUGUUUAAGUACACUUUUCCCAAGAAACCAGAGGCCUUCCUACUGGGCAUUGUCGGUCAGAAGGUGUUAAAGAAGGAUAGAACCUUUUUAUGUAUGCAACUACAGCAGCAAGAAUUCUUAUCGCAAAAUACUGGAAGACUCAAGAUUUACCCACACUGGAAGAGUGGCAGACGCAAUUGAUGGGCUACAUGGAAUUGGCCGAGAUGACUGCCAGGAUCCGAGAUUUGGAGGAAGAAGCAAUGGAGGAGGAUUGGAAAAAAUUUAAAGAUUAUUUACAAAAAUUUUAUAAGUUAUAUGAAUGUUAAGAAUUCGCAUGAUUAGGGAAAUUCAGCUCCAGCAAUAAGAUUAAGGUAUGGGAAACUAAGCUAUAUUAAUGAAAGGACUAACGUUUAAAAGAACAUUAUAUAUAUUAUUAGUGUAAAUUGACAAUAAGCAUUUUAAACGCAAAUCACAAGUAUUUGAAAGAACAAAAGAAUGCACGAAAUAAGGUUAUAAUUUGCUGAAAAAUUUUAUUGUAAAGAACGCAAGGUGAGGGGGACGGGGAAGUCCGGUUGGUUAUGGAAAAAUGCUUUGAAAAGAUGAUUUUCUUCUUUUUCUUUCUCUUUUCUGUUAUUUCUUUGUAUAUCUGACCUUGUAUUUCUAUCUGGAAAAAUGCAAUAAAAAAUAUUAUAAAAAAAAAAAAAAA